GAGGAGUUAGUUAAGAGUAUAAUUUGUGUUUGUCAUACACGGGUGGCUAGUGUGGUUGCUAGUAUUUCUCA
This 71-nucleotide transfer RNA is filed under the name Puncturella cf. parvinobilis. Its description in RNAcentral is "tRNA-Asp". The record is from RNAcentral. Lineage: Eukaryota; Metazoa; Mollusca; Gastropoda; Lepetellida; Fissurellidae.